Molecule: transfer RNA, 90 nt
Organism: Candida tropicalis MYA-3404
Lineage: Eukaryota; Fungi; Ascomycota; Pichiomycetes; Serinales; Debaryomycetaceae
Rfam family: tRNA
About the family: Transfer RNA (tRNA) molecules are approximately 80 nucleotides in length. Their secondary structure includes four short double-helical elements and three loops (D, anti-codon, and T loops). Further hydrogen bonds mediate the characteristic L-shaped molecular structure. tRNAs have two regions of fundamental functional importance: the anti-codon, which is responsible for specific mRNA codon recognition, and the 3' end, to which the tRNAs corresponding amino acid is attached (by aminoacyl-tRNA synthetases). tRNAs cope with the degeneracy of the genetic code in two manners: having more than one tRNA (with a specific anti-codon) for a particular amino acid; and 'wobble' base-pairing, i.e. permitting non-standard base-pairing at the 3rd anti-codon position.
Source: Rfam
GCCAUCAUAGUAUAGUGGUCAGUACGAGUCGUUGUGGAGCAAUAACACAACAAAUCCGACUAGACCCAGGUUCGAUUCCUGGUGAUGGCA